GCCGGGUGCGGUGGCUCAUGCCUGUAAUCCCAGCACUUUGGGAGGCCGAGGCGGGCGGAUCACCUGAGGUCAGGAGUUCAAGACCAGCCUGGCCAACAUGGUGAAACCCCGUCUCUU
This 117-nucleotide non-coding RNA is filed under the name Nomascus leucogenys (northern white-cheeked gibbon). Lineage: Eukaryota; Metazoa; Chordata; Mammalia; Primates; Hylobatidae. The record is from Rfam by way of RNAcentral.